AUUUUACAUACUAGUCUAGUCAGUUGCAAUAACAGUUGAAGCAGCAGGAAACAGCUAAGUACACAUGCAAGUGUUAAACCAACACAACUUCCACAGCCACCUUGUCUCAAAUAUUCGAUUGCAUUCUAAGAUAUCUUUGUUCAAAUCAAUUGUGACUACUAUACCAAAAGAUUGUAAAAUGGCCCAAUCAAGGUUGUUCACGAAAGCCAAAGUUGAAUUUUCGAUUAAAAAAAAAGUUUUCGAAACUCUAUUUUCGUUUCG
Molecule: long non-coding RNA, 261 nt
Organism: Hydra vulgaris (swiftwater hydra)
Lineage: Eukaryota; Metazoa; Cnidaria; Hydrozoa; Anthoathecata; Hydridae
Source: RefSeq, a predicted model, not a curated record